GAGAACCAAGCUGAGUCGCAGCCUUCAUCCUCUCCAGCUUCCUGACUGCAGCUGCCCUGUGACCAGCUGCUGUGGGCUCCAGCUGCCCUGUGACCAGCUGCUGUGGGCUCCAGCUGCCCUGUGACCAGCUGCUGUGGGCUCCAGCUGCCCUGUAACCAGCUGCUGUGGGCUCCAGCUGCCCUGAGACCAGCUGCUGUGAGCUCCAGCUGCUAUGCCUUCCUCUAUGAUAGGCUGCACCCUCACACUGUGAGCUAGAAACACGGGCUUCCGGGGGUUAGAGAGAAGGCUCCGCAGUUAAGAGGAUGUGUUAUUCCUGCAGAGGCCCUGAGUAUGACCCCCAACGCCCCCAGCCAACAAUCAGUUCGCAGAUACCUGCAUCCCCAGCGCCAGAAGACUUGACAUGCCUCUGGCCUCCUGAAGCGCCUGCCUGUUCACGGACACGUGCUCACACAUGUACACGGACUCUCGUGCACACACAAAUGGAUGAUAGCAAGGUCUUAGACAGAAUGUCUCCACUAAGAAGAACCAGAAACAAGCCUGGAAACAGGUGGAUUUGAACCAACGUGACCCCACAUCACAUGGGCUGUCUGACUCUCUGAGCUUCCACUCACAGCCUAAUUGUCCCUUGGAGGACAGAGCUGUCAGUGUGAAUUGGUCUGGUUUAUCCGAAAACUAUGUUCUGGUUGGUCCACCCACAUCCACCAUUGCCAGGUUAGUACAUACAUUUUAAUAAGCAGAAUAUAGGUGUGUGUGUGUGUGUGUGUGU
RNAcentral lists this long non-coding RNA (766 nucleotides) under Rattus norvegicus (Norway rat). RNAcentral describes it as "long non-coding RNA NONRATT032930". The record is from RNAcentral. Lineage: Eukaryota; Metazoa; Chordata; Mammalia; Rodentia; Muridae.